GUAGAUGUAGUUUAACAAAAACAUUAGAUUGUGAUUCUAAAAACAGAGGUUAAACUCCCCUCAUCCACC
RNAcentral lists this transfer RNA (69 nucleotides) under Coreoperca herzi. RNAcentral's name for it is "tRNA-His". It matches the Rfam family "tRNA". Rfam says of the family: Transfer RNA (tRNA) molecules are approximately 80 nucleotides in length. Their secondary structure includes four short double-helical elements and three loops (D, anti-codon, and T loops). Further hydrogen bonds mediate the characteristic L-shaped molecular structure. tRNAs have two regions of fundamental functional importance: the anti-codon, which is responsible for specific mRNA codon recognition, and the 3' end, to which the tRNAs corresponding amino acid is attached (by aminoacyl-tRNA synthetases). tRNAs cope with the degeneracy of the genetic code in two manners: having more than one tRNA (with a specific anti-codon) for a particular amino acid; and 'wobble' base-pairing, i.e. permitting non-standard base-pairing at the 3rd anti-codon position. The record is from RNAcentral. Lineage: Eukaryota; Metazoa; Chordata; Actinopteri; Centrarchiformes; Sinipercidae.